RNAcentral lists this ribosomal RNA (29 nucleotides) under Hydnum rufescens. RNAcentral describes it as "partial 28S ribosomal RNA". The record is from RNAcentral. Lineage: Eukaryota; Fungi; Basidiomycota; Agaricomycetes; Cantharellales; Hydnaceae.
UUUCUGACGGCGAAUCAGGUGGGACUACC